Molecule: ribosomal RNA, 429 nt
Filed under: uncultured bacterium
Lineage: Bacteria
Description: bacterial SSU rRNA
Rfam family: Bacterial small subunit ribosomal RNA
Source: RNAcentral
GACGAACGCUGGCGGCGUGCUUAACACAUGCAAGUCGAGCGGUAAGGCCUUUCGGGGUACACGAGCGGCGAACGGGUGAGUAACACGUGGGUGAUCUGCCCUGCACUUCGGGAUAAGCCUGGGAAACUGGGUCUAAUACCGGAUAUGACCUCCUAUCGCAUGGUGGGUGGUGGAAAGAUUUAUCGGUGCAGGAUGGGCCCGCGGCCUAUCAGCUUGUUGGUGGGGUAAUGGCCUACCAAGGCGACGACGGGUAGCCGACCUGAGAGGGUGACCGGCCACACUGGGACUGAGACACGGCCCAGACUCCUACGGGAGGCAGCAGUGGGGAAUAUUGCACAAUGGGCGAAAGCCUGAUGCAGCGACGCCGCGUGAGGGAUGACGGCCUUCGGGUUGUAAACCUCUUUCAGCAGGGACGAAGCGCAAGUGACG